UGCGAUGGUUGUCGUCAGCUCGUGUCGUGAGAUGUUGGUUAAGUCCGCAACGAGCGCAACCCCUAUUGUUAGUUGCCAUCAUUCAGUUGGGCACUCUAGCGAGACUGCCGGUAAUAAACCGGAGGAAGGUGGGGAUGACGUCAAAUCAUCAUGCCCCUUAUGACCUGGGCUACACACAUGCUACAAUGGUUGGUACAACGAGUUGCGAGUCGGUGACGGCGAGCUAAUCUCUUAAAGCCAAUCUCAGUUCGGAUUGUAGGCUGCAACUCGCCUACAUGAAGUCGGAAUCGCUAGUAAUCGCGGAUCAGCACGCCGCGGUGAAUACGUUCCCGGGCCUU
This 338-nucleotide ribosomal RNA is filed under the name uncultured Streptococcus sp. RNAcentral describes it as "bacterial SSU rRNA". It matches the Rfam family "Bacterial small subunit ribosomal RNA", at positions 1042 to 1382 of the family's 1533-position model. Lineage: Bacteria; Bacillati; Bacillota; Bacilli; Lactobacillales; Streptococcaceae. The record is from RNAcentral.